AUAAUACCGGAUAUCGUGGGGCCCUGCAUAGGGCCUUGACAAGAGAUUUAUCGGCAGGGGAUGAGCUUGCGUCCGAUUAGCUAGCUGGCGGGGCAACGGCCCACCAAGGCGACGAUCGGUAGCCGGCCUGAGAGGGUGAUCGGCCACAUUGGGACUGAGAUACGGCCCAGACUCCUACGGGAGGCAGCAGUAGGGAAUAUUGCACAAUGGGGGAAACCCUGAUGCAGCAACGCCACGUGUGGGUAGAAGCAUUUCGGUGUGUAAACCACUGUCGUGAGGGAAUAAGGCUAUUUUUCGGAGUAGUUGAAUGUACCUCGAGAGGAAGCACCGGCAAACUUCGUGCCAGCAGCCGCGGUAAUACGAGGGGUGCAAGCGUUGUUCGGAAUCACUGGGCGUAAAGGGAGCGCAGGCGGAAGCUCAAGCGGAUUGUACAAUACCGGGGCCCAACCCCGGACCUGCAGUCCGAACUGGGUUUCUUGGAUAGUUCAGGGGCAAGCGGAAUUCCUGGNGUAGCGGUGGAAUGCGUAGAGAUCAGGAAGAACACCGAUGGCGAAGGCAGCCUGCUGGGGACUUAUCGACACUCAUGCUCGAAAGUGCGGGUAGCAAACAGGAUUAGAUACCCUGGUAGUCCGCACCGU
RNAcentral lists this ribosomal RNA (638 nucleotides) under uncultured Fibrobacter sp. RNAcentral's name for it is "bacterial SSU rRNA". It matches the Rfam family "Bacterial small subunit ribosomal RNA", at positions 163 to 803 of the family's 1533-position model. Lineage: Bacteria; Pseudomonadati; Fibrobacterota; Fibrobacteria; Fibrobacterales; Fibrobacteraceae. The record is from RNAcentral.